RNAcentral lists this long non-coding RNA (8174 nucleotides) under Selaginella moellendorffii. RNAcentral describes it as "long non-coding RNA (SMOE_LNC001127)". Lineage: Eukaryota; Viridiplantae; Streptophyta; Lycopodiopsida; Selaginellales; Selaginellaceae. The record is from RNAcentral.
GGGUUGUAGAGUCCCAGCUUGUCAACCUUUGAGAUCUCUGCGUAUAUCAAGAUUGUGUUAUUACAGAGCAUUAAGAGGUGUGGUUUCUUGUACCUGUGAUUGGUGAGGCUCCAGAGAUUGUGGACAGGCUAUCGCCAACUUUGAGAUCAGCAGCUCGCUUGUAAAUUAUCUCUCCUUUGGUGUUAACUGGGACAAAGUGACCGGCUGUAAGCUCCAAGGUGUUGGCUUCGGUCUUGACUUGCACGAAUUCAGAGACAACAUCUAGAUCCUUGUGACCAAACGCGUAGAUAUCCGAAAAUGAAUUCUUCCCAACAGCAACCUGUAGAAACUCAUUAAUCAUGUGAAGCAAAGUGGAUUACUAGCUAGGAUCUUGCCUUAUCUCCAAUCUUAAGUUCCUUCAUGGUCUUCAUUUCUCCACUGUACAUAUGAACCAUUGCAUCACCUAGAUAGAUAUUGCAUGGUUACAUAGCACAGUGUAAUUUGUAGAGAAUAACUUUAUUACCUGGAAAGCAUCCAGGGUUUUGACAUAUUCCAUUGUUACAUGUGAAUCCAGUUAGCCCCGCUGUUGUGCAAUCAGCAGUAGUAGUGCAACUCACUAUAUUAGUAGCAAAUACAGUGGAAAACAAUCCAAGAAGAGAGACCACAGCAAACACAGCAGCUAGAGAAGCCAUUGCCUUUCAAAUAUACUUAAGAAGACACUAAGCAUAUGAAGCAUCAUUGGCCAUGCACUGCUUAAAUAGGAUGAACUUAAACGUAAUUACAUGUGAUAUGAUUUUCUGGGGAAGAAUAUGGGUGAGUGAGCGAAACAUCUUAGCUAUAUCAAUUGUCAAACAUCUAGUACAUAUAUUGUCUACCUAGUUCUAUAUUUUUAAGCAGGUGAUGCUUUGGUACACCUGUAUAAUGCGAUGGACUUUAAAAUUGGAUAAUUCCAGUCUUCAACUAUAGUAAUUGCACUAUUAUGAACUAAUAAAACCUUGUAAUAAAUUUUUUAAUAAAGUUCUUUAAAUGUUAGAAAUAUAUGUAAAGCUUUUUGCAAUUGCCAUAAAUUACUUAGAAUAAUGAGUUUUGAUAUCAUCAAUUGAGAAUUUAUUUACAUUUAGAAGGAUUAUAUUAUUAUUAUAGUACACACAAACAUUUACAUGUGUUUACUUGCUCUUGAAUAUGAACUAUUUCAUUUCAUUUUUCUUUUUUGCCUUUUCAUUUUCUUUUCUUUCAUUUUCAUGGCUGGACAAACUCCUUAUUUGAUUCUAAAGUAACAAUUGGUGCAAUUUGUGUAAUUGCUUGAUGCUAUAUAGUUGCAAUUGAUCAAUCAAACUUAGUUGGUAAUGACAUUCAUGUCCAAAUUAAAAUAAUCAUAUGACUAACUACACAAAUAUUAAUAUAUGGCAUUGUAACUGUACACCUCGAACUCACACGUAUAACUAAAAAAAUUAAUAAAAAAAACUCCACACAUGUGUAAAUAUAUAAUGUAUGCAUACAUAAUCACAUAUUCAUUGUUUUGUGUUGUAAACUUUAGUUUCCUCAAGGAAAAAAUCCUUACUUUAUACUUUUGACAUCUAUCUUUUUAUGAUGUUUUAAUAAAAUAUCUUAAGUUCAAUAUAGUUGGUUAGAAAAACCAAGAUUAAAAUGCUAUGACGAUAAACAUGACAACAGUAAUUCUUCAUAAAAAAAUUUGGCGGCUCUAAAUGGAGCGAGCUGCAAAGGCUAGAGCUCCAAGACCAAUGGUGACCGCAAUGGUGGCUCCAUACUUGGUGCCAGAGUCUGCCACAUUCACGCAAGAAUCGAGCAUGGAGUAGCCAGCCGAGUAGAGCUUGCUUCCAGCGAUGUUGUAAAGAGCACGAACUGGAGCGAGCAGUGACUGGUAUGCAUAUGGGAGGUAUUCGCUUGCACCAAGGGCAUCGAACAGAGAAUCUAAGAACCAUUCGCUGUGAACAGAGGCCACUACGUUAUUGACAAGAAUGUCGCCCGACAGUGUCAAGGGGUUGUAGAGUCCCAGCUUGUCAACCUUUGAGAUCUCUGCGUAUAUCAAGAUUGUGUUAUUACAGAGCAUUAAGAGGUGUGGUUUCUUGUACCUGUGAUUGGUGAGGCUCCAGAGAUUGUGGACAGGCUAUCGCCAACUUUGAGAUCAGCAGCUCGCUUGUAAAUUAUCUCUCCUUUGGUGUUAACUGGGACAAAGUGACCGGCUGUAAGCUCCAAGGUGUUGGCUUCGGCCUUGACUUGCACGAAUUCAGAGACAACGUCUAGAUCCUUGUGACCAAAUGCGUAGAUAUCCGAAAAUGAAUUCUUCCCAACAGCAACCUGUGGAAGCUCAUUAAUCAUGUGAAGCAAAGUGGAUUACUAGCUAGGAUCUUGCCUUAUCUCCAAUCUUAAGUUCCUUCAUGGUCUUCAUUUCUCCACUGUACAUAUGAACCAUUGCAUCACCUAGAUAGAUAUUGCAUGGUUACAUAGCACAGUGUAAUUUCUAGAGAAUAACUUUAUUACCUGGAAAGCAUCCAGUGUUGUUUUGACAUAUUCCAUUGUUACAUGUGAAUCCAGUUAGCCCCGCUGCUGUGCAAUCAGCAGCAGUAUUGCACCUCACUAUAUUGGUAGCAAACACAGUGGAAAACAAUCCAAGAAAAGAGAUCACAGCAAACACAGCAGCUAGAGAAGCCAUUGUCUUUCAAAUAUACUUAAGCAGACACUAAGCUUAUGAAGAAUCAUUGGCCAUGCACUGCUUAAAUAGGAUGAACUUAAACGUAAUUACAUGUGAUAUGAUUUUCUGGGGAAGAAUAUGGGUGAGUGAGCGAAACAUCCUUUAGCUAUAUCAAUUGUCAAACAUCUAGUACAUAUAUUGUCUACCUAGUUCUAGACACUCAGCCGGCACAACAAAAUAACUAGUGAAAAAAUCCCACUUGGAAAGUGGCAUUUUAAUCUGCGAAAUGCCCCUUCUGUUCAUUGGCAGAGCUUCUGGAACCUGACUGAUUCGACCAAUUUGCUGCUGCUGCAGCUAGGGCUAGAGUCAAGGUUUCUAAGAGUAUUUUUUAUUUUUAUUUUGUAAGGGGAAGGGGGGGAGCGGGGGUGUGGGUGAGUGGGCUGGUAAAAAAUUGUAAAAGAUUAACAUAAAUGUGCAUAUAUAUGCUCAAAUUAUUGUAAUAUAUAUGUGUCACUUACAAAACUAUAUCUUCAGUUAUCCAUAUUACAUUUACAUUCUUCUUUAAUCACUUUUAACAUUUAAAAUGAAGUUAAAAUAUUAACAUAAAAAAUGAUAUGGAAAAUCAAGUUGUAAGGAAAAUUCUUUAUCAAUUGACAUAAUAAUGACACACAUUUUCCAUCUAACAAUUUAGUAAGUGCAAUUUAAAUGCCUGAAAAUAUUGUUUCAUGAUCAAAUUUUGGGUAUUCAUUGGUAUUUGCGGAUAUCAUUGUCAAAUGUUAUAUAUAUGGGUAUGAUAUUGGACUCUUAGGCAUAUUGUUGAGUCAUAAAAAUUUAAGUUGAAAUGAAUAUAUAUGAAAUUGUAAAUAAGAGGAAGUUGGUUGAGUAUUAAAAAUUUACAUUCUUGGAUUAAAAGUUAUUCUUUUUGUAGUAAAGAAAAUUUUCCACAAAUUUUCUUAAUGGUUGAUUUGUUGAUUAUUUUGCCCAAAAACCAUUUCAUUUUUGAAAGCCAUUUAGUGAAAGGGUUAAAGUUGACUAAAAUUAAAGUAAAAAAGUGGUUGUUGUUUUUUUCCCUUAGGCUUUUCUUAUGUAACAUUAUAUUUGUUGGUAGAUUACAUCUUAUAUUUAGUUAAAUUUAAUGAGAGUAGUUAACUCUAAUUAAACUUGACUUAGUUUAAGAUAGUGAUAUUUAGCUUAGUUGUUUGCAGUUAAAGUAAUAACAGUUUUAGGUAUAUAAAUCCAUCUCAUAGUCUUCCCUUUAGUUUCAACUAAAUGUUAAUCAUUUGUGGCUAACCUCUUCAUUUGUACUUAGAGUUAUUUGUUAAAGAUGUUAGUAGGGUUAUUGUUGUAUGAUUGGAUUUAAGUAGUCAUUUUGUCUGUAAUUAUUUAUGUUUCUAUAUGUUGUAUUUAGAGUGUUACUUUUAUGUUGGACAAAUAUAUAACUCAAUGAUGUAAAUUUAGUGUUUGAGCCUUAUGACAACAAAUUUAAGAGUGAUUGUUAGUUAUUUUGUAACUAAUGAUUAUUUAUAAAUUUCAUUAUUUUAGAGCUUUGAUUGUGUAUAUCAAUUACCCUAGCUUAUAUACAGGAGCGAGUGGUCCGGAUUGAAACCAAUCCGACGGCUACCAAAAUCCCACUAUACUAAUAUUAGUAUAUGGCAUCAUAGCCAUACACUUGGCCUUCACAUCAUUCCCUCCUUUCAGAAUAAUGGAACACCAUCAAGGUUCUUUUGUAGAUGGGCCGGGAUCUGGAAGAACGUUAGGAGGAGGCAUUGGCAGAUCUGUAAGUGGUAUUAAUUGCUUCUGAUCCCUUUGUAUGAAGCAUUUUAACCACUACACAUGCGCAAUAUCUAGAAGAUCAUUCUGCUAAACAUUAUUGCAAACUUCAUAAACUUGUGGUCCAACUUGCCACAACACCCAAUACGGUCCUUUCCAUUGAGCAAUAAACCCCUUAGAUAAACCACGUACCUUAAAAUGGGGAAAAUGGACUAACACUAAGUCAUCCACUUUGUACUCCGCAAGUGAACGAUGAUGGGAGUUGUAGCGCCAUUGUUGUCACAUUUAUACAUGACUUAAGUGUUCGAAAGAAUCCACUAUGAACGAGAAUGCUAGAACACUGUUCGAUUGAGGAGGAAGUAUCUAACAAAAGUUGCAGAGGCACUAACAAGAGCACCAACUUUCACUCAACAAGUCAAGUAAUCAAGUAAUCAGAAGCAAUAAUAACAUACUCAUUACCAGCAGUCGACUAUGGAAAAAGUUCUAUAAGAUCAAAUGCCACCAACUCAAACGAAUGGGAAAUUGCAAUUGACUCUAAUCGUCCUUCCAUAGCACGAGGGGGAGUAUUACGAACUUGGCACCAAACACAGCUACGCACAUACUAGAUAAUAUCACGUCGCAUCUCCGGCCAAUAGAAAGAUCUGCGUAGCUUCUUAGUUACACUACAAUGCCCUAUAUACCUACCUAGAAGAGGAGAAUCAUGAUAGCCAUGGAGAAACCAUGGAAUAAAGAUAGAAGGCACCAUCAGCCGUAAAUGAUCAUCAAAAUAAAGAAGGCUGUCUUCAAGGUAUCAGCAAGUGAUGCAAGAUUCUCAAACCCAUCUUGAAGCCUUUGAAUCCACGACUCAAUCUUUUGACCUUUGCGAACCUCAUCAAAAGAGGGUAGAUUUUGCUAUGCGCCUUGUGGACACUGAACAUCAAGUGUAGCAACCGCCGACGGCACAGAAUCCUCGUCUAAAAAAUCCACAGAUGCUAGAACAACAAGCUCGUUAAAAACAUGAGAAGAGAGUGCAGAAGGAAGAGGAGCUAUAGAAAUGCCAUCAGCAUUAGCUAUAAAACUCCCUAGGUGAUGAAAAACAUCAAAAUUAUAUAUCUAAAGCUUCAAAGCCCACCGAACAGUACGACCAACCAAGUUUUUUCGUUUCAAUAAUGAAGUAAUAUUAACAUAAUCAUCUUCAACUAACGUCCGAAAACCAUGUAAAUAUGCAUGAAGUUUCUCAAAACCCUAGACUGCUGCUAAACACUCCUUCUGUAAUUCACCUCCACUGAUUGCAAUGUACGGUUUAUAUAUGCAAUGAGAUGGCACUGAUCAAGCACACUCGGGCUCAUCGCAAAGAACUUCGUCCAUCAUCCGCUAGAAAGUUGCUAGAGCAUUGUUUAAACUAAACGGCAUCACCAAAAACUCAUACAAACUAAAUAGUGUAUGAAAAGUAGUUUUAAAAAUAUCUUUUUCGGCCAUUGGUACUUGCCAAUACCUAGAAGCAAGAUCUAGUUUGGUGAACUAAUGACUUCGCCCCAGACGAUCUAAAAGAUCAACAAUAUGAGGAAGAGGGUACACAUCUUGGCUCAUCACUUUGUUUAAUGAAUGAUAGUCAAUGUAGAAAUGAAUACUCCCAUCAGGCUUCGUCAUAAGAUGAGGUUCACAUGCCCAAGGACUUUGCAACUUCCUAAUAACACCCUUCUUCAACAUCUUCUUGACAUUUGCACAUAAAAUCUUAAUCUCUUUGGGUGACCAACGACGAAUAAAAACCUUGAUUGGACGAGCAUCCCCGGUUGAAAUCGGAUGAUGUGUAGCAAUCUUGGCCCCAGGCGAUAGAUCAAAUUCAAAGAGAUCAAAAUACUCCUUCAUGAGCCGGUCAACCACUGCAACACAAAGAUUAUCGAAGGGAUCAGAGUGUGGGAGCAUGGGGGAUGCUCGAUGAAUUUUCGACACGAUGCCGAGAGACGAUGUCGCAGCAUGGAACUCGAUGGUCCUGGGCUAUGCCGAGAACAAGCAAGCAGCACUAGGCUUGGAGCUCUUUCAAGAGAUUCCUCCUUGAGUUUUGGACGCUCACAGCUUGGCUGCUGCUCUCAAGGCUUGUGGAAGCCUGGCCUCUCUGGGACAGGGCAAAGCCACUCAUGCUCUAGCUUGCCGCAUGGGGAUGGAAGAAUCUCUCACCGUUGGGACUAGUUUGGUCGACUUCUAUUGCAAGUGUGGAAACAUGGUGGACACUCGACUGGUUUUUGAUAAGAUCUUUGCCAAGGAGCUAGCGGCCUGGACAGCUCUCGUGGAAGGCUAUGGCCGUCAAGGAAGCUCCAAGCUUGUGAUGGAGUUUCUUUGUGGAAUGGAAGAGGAGGGGUUUCGACCAGACGCUAAAACUCUGGCUAGCGUUAUCACUGCUUGUAGCCACGGUGGCGAGCUAGAGGCCGCCAGGAAACUCUUUGCAGAAGUGAUUCCUUCGCAGGAUUAUUUCGUGCGCAUGGUGGAUCUUCUAGGUAGAGCCAAUGAGCUAAAUGCCGCAGUAGACAUGGUUAGCUCGGUGGAAAGUGUUAGCAACGCUAAGUUGGUGGUGUUGUGGAGAAUUAUCCUAGAUGCUUGUAGAAGGUGGAAGAAUCUUGAGGUGGGAAAGGUGGCAUUCAAGCGUUUGAUGGAUUUGGAUGAGUUUGAUUCAGCGGCUUAUGUACUAUUCGCAUCCAGCUAUGAUUAAGUGCAAAUAAUUCACUUGAUUAUUCUUUCUUUGUAAGAAUGCGGCUGCUCUAAAUGGAGCGAGCGGCAAAGGCUAGAGCUCCAAUACCAAUGGUGAUAGCAAUGGGGCCUCCAUACUUGGUGCCAAAGUCUGCCACAUUCACGCAAGAAUCGAGCAUGGAGUAGCCAGCCGAGUAGAGCGUGCUUCCGGCGAUGUUGUAAAGAGCACGAACUGGGGCGAGCAGUGACUGGUAUGCAUAUGGGAGGUAUCCGCUUGCAUCAAGGGCAUCGAACAGAGAAUCUAAGAACCAUUCGCUGUGAACAGAGGCCACCACGUUAUUGACAAGAAUGUUGCCCGACAGUGUCAAGGGGUUGUAGAGUCCCAGCUUGUCAACCUUUGAGAUCUCUGCGUAUAUCAAGAUUGUGUUAUUACAGAGCAUUAAGAGGUGUGGUUUCUUGUACCUGUGAUUGGUGAGGCUCCAGAGAUUGUGGACAGGCUAUCGCCAACUUUGAGAUCAGCAGCUCGCUUGUAAAUUAUCUCUCCUUUGGUGUUAACUGGGACAAAGUGACCGGCUGUAAGCUCCAAGGUGUUGGCUUCGGUCUUGACUUGCACGAAUUCAGAGACAACAUCUAGAUCCUUGUGACCAAACGCGUAGAUAUCCGAAAAUGAAUUCUUCCCAACAGCAACCUGUAGAAACUCAUUAAUCAUGUGAAGCAAAGUGGAUUACUAGCUAGGAUCUUGCCUUAUCUCCAAUCUUAAGUUCCUUCAUGGUCUUCAUUUCUCCACUGUACAUAUGAACCAUUGCAUCACCUAGAUAGAUAUUGCAUGGUUACAUAGCACAGUGUAAUUUGUAGAGAAUAACUUUAUUACCUGGAAAGCAUCCAGGGUUUUGACAUAUUCCAUUGUUACAUGUGAAUCCAGUUAGCCCCGCUGUUGUGCAAUCAGCAGUAGUAGUGCAACUCACUAUAUUAGUAGCAAAUACAGUGGAAAACAAUCCAAGAAGAGAGACCACAGCAAACACAGCAGCUAGAGAAGCCAUUGCCUUUCAAAUAUACUUAAGAAGACACUAAGCAUAUGAAGCAUCAUUGGCCAUGCACUGCUUAAAUA